Non-coding RNA from Parelaphostrongylus tenuis, 75 nucleotides. NCBI's taxonomy places the organism in Eukaryota, Metazoa, Nematoda, Chromadorea, Rhabditida, Metastrongylidae. The record is from the annotation of a GenBank genome assembly.
GGAGUGUUGCGGUGCAGUGGUUAGCAUACGCUCCUUGAAAGGGUGAGGUGCGAAUUCGAUUCUUAUCACACGCCA